AUUGAACGCUGGCGGCAUGCCUUACACAUGCAAGUCGAACGGCAGCAUGGAAGAGCUUGCUCUUCUGAUGGCGAGUGGCGAACGGGUGAGUAAAGCAUCGGAACGUACCGUGUAGUGGGGGGAUAACGUAGCGAAAGUUACGCUAAUACCGCAUACGCACUGAGGUGGAAAGCAGGGGAUCGCAAGACCUUGCGCUAUACGAGCGGCCGAUGUCAGAUUAGCUAGUUGGUAAGGUAAAGGCCUACCAAGGCGACGAUCUGUAGCGGGUCUGAGAGGAUGAUCCGCCACACUGGGACUGAGACACGGCCCAGACUCCUACGGGAGGCAGCAGUGGGGAAUUUUGGACAAUGGGCGAAAGCCUGAUCCAGCCAUGCCGCGUGAGUGAAGAAGGCCU
This 394-nucleotide ribosomal RNA is filed under the name uncultured bacterium. Its description in RNAcentral is "bacterial SSU rRNA". It matches the Rfam family "Bacterial small subunit ribosomal RNA", at positions 30 to 417 of the family's 1533-position model. The record is from RNAcentral.